Molecule: long non-coding RNA, 368 nt
Organism: Anguilla anguilla (European eel)
Lineage: Eukaryota; Metazoa; Chordata; Actinopteri; Anguilliformes; Anguillidae
Exons: 4
Source: RefSeq, a predicted model, not a curated record
GACAAGAAGCAGAUUCCGGCUGGCAAGGGAUUGCCCGAGAACUAGAGACAGCCCACAAGCAGGAGCUUUUUUUAAUCAGAGUGGCUCCAAAUGAUCGUGGGCUGACUUUGACCUAGAUGAUGGUCAACAAACCAAGUGAAAUGAGAGCACUUAGCCGGACAGGACCAUGAGACCAUGAAGGGGGAUCACAGUCUACAAGUUGAACCGAACCAUCAGGAGCUGACUGAAUGAUCCAGGCGAUGGUCAACGAUGGAGUCCUAGAGACAGUGGGACUGAAACGCUUCGACAGGCAUAUUGGAUGCACAUUAAUCAAAUUAAGGAGGAUGUGGCUCAUGAACAUCAGGCAGUGGGAACUUGGUGAAGAGGAG